This 253-nucleotide ribosomal RNA is filed under the name uncultured bacterium. Its description in RNAcentral is "partial 16S ribosomal RNA". It matches the Rfam family "Bacterial small subunit ribosomal RNA", at positions 524 to 776 of the family's 1533-position model. The record is from RNAcentral.
UACGUAGGGUGCGAGCGUUAAUCGGAAUUACUGGGCGUAAAGCGUGCGCAGGCGGUUCGUUGUGUCUGCUGUGAAAUCCCCGGGCUUAACCUGGGAAUGGCAUUUGGGACUGCAAGGCUGGAGUGCGGCAGAGGAGACUGGAAUUCCUGGUGUAGCAGUGAAAUGCGUAGAUAUCAGGAGGAAUACCGAUGGCGAAGGCAGGUCUCUGGGCUGACACUGACGCUCAUGCACGAAAGCGUGGGGAGCAAACAGG